This 465-nucleotide ribosomal RNA is filed under the name Arctornis discirufa. Its description in RNAcentral is "partial large subunit ribosomal RNA". The record is from RNAcentral. Lineage: Eukaryota; Metazoa; Arthropoda; Insecta; Lepidoptera; Erebidae.
UGCCCACUGAUAAAUAUUAAAGGGCUGCAGUAUUUUGACUGUACAAAGGUAGCAUAAUCAUUAGUCAUUUAAUUGAUGACUUGUAUGAAAGGUUGGAUGAAAUAUAAACUGUCUUUAAAGUAAAUUAUAGAAUUUAAUUUUUUAUUUAAAAAGUUAAAAUAAUUUAAAAAGACGAGAAGACCCUAUAGAGUUUUAUUUUAAUUAUAAAUUGUAAUUUUAUAUAAAUAAUUAAAAAUUUAAAUUUAUAUUGAAAUUUUAUUGGGGUGAUAGAAAAAUUAAAUAAACUUUUUUUUAAUUUAAAUACCAUAAAUAAGUGUAUUAUUGAUCCAGUUUUAUUGAUUAUAAGAAAUAAUUACCUUAGGGAUAACAGCGUAAUUUUUUUUUUUAGUUCAAAUAAGAAAAAAAGUUUGCGACCUCGAUGUUGGAUUAAGAUAAAAUUUAAAUGCAGAAGUUUAAAAGUUUUGA